CGGAUGUGUCAGAGAGGACACUGCAGUUGUCCGUGCUAGUAGCCUUCGCUUCUGGAGUACUCCUGGGCUGGCAGGCGAACCGACUGCGGAGGCGCUACUUGGACUGGAGGAAAAGGAGGCUGCAGGACAAGCUGGCGGCGACGCAGAAGAAGCUGGACCUGGCCUGAGACUCUGCGCCUUCCGCCCCAUUCUGUCCCCCUCAUGGCCACCUUGCCAUGUCCGCGCCGGAGCCCCGGUCCGCCGGCGCCCAGAACCAGGCUUGCCACACAGUCCCCGCCUGCCAUGGCCGGCUCUUCCUGGAGUGUUGCUUGUUGAAGAUGCAUAUAGACUACCGGAAAGAAAUGACUUCUUCUUGCACUUUAUGAAUCAAUUUUAUUUUUAAAAUAAAAAAAUUAAACAUC
This 401-nucleotide long non-coding RNA is filed under the name Homo sapiens (human). RNAcentral's name for it is "long non-coding RNA NONHSAT185333". Lineage: Eukaryota; Metazoa; Chordata; Mammalia; Primates; Hominidae. The record is from RNAcentral.